GGGCGUGGCUCCCGUUGGCCAAUGGGCGAACGCGACGGAGGGACGAGCCAGAGGGCGAAGGGUCGGCCAGACGCAGGGACGCCGCGCGUCAUCAAAUGACGCUGUUUGGAAAACUUUCGAGGCAGCUCUGCAGCUUAAAGAAAAUCCCAUGGUCAUGUGACUCCAGAUACUUCUGGGAAUGGUUGAAUACAGUGUUUAAUAAAGUAGAUUAUGAACGCCUCAGGGAUGUUGGCCCUGACAGGGCAGCAUCUGAGUGGCUACUUCGGUGUGGGGCCAAAGUACGCUACUGUGGCCAUCAGAAGUGGCUACAGGACUACAACAGCAUCCCAGGAGGCUCCAUGGACAAACACAAGAUUCAAGCAAUUGAUGCCACCGAUUCUUGUAUCAUGGACAUUGGAUUCGAUCACAUGGCUCUGACAAAGGACCAAAAAGGAAAACAAUCCAUUUGAGAAGAAACCUGUGGUGUUGACACUGGAGGUAGUAUGACAAAGGUCUGAUUCCAUGCUCCAAAGUAUGAGAAGUGACUUACCCGCCUGCAGCCUGAGUUUGCACACAUCAGACAGCUCGGCUCCUAUUCAGCAUCAGGAGCAGCAUGGUGGCAUUAUAAGAAAACACCGUUGGAGAAAAUGAAAACAAACCGCAGCAACAACGCACAUGCCACAAGUUACUACUCUUCUUUUUUCCUUGCUUUGUCUAAAAUGCCUUUCCUGACAAUAACUUUUGGCACUUAAAUUAACAGCAUUAUCAAAGUGGGUAUUAAUUAUUGCACCUAUUGACAUUUGUAUAAAGGGAACUUCAAAAUACAUUUUAUCCCUACCUUGAUGAACUCAUGCUUAUUGGAUUUCUGGAGGGAACACUGUUACCACCUCCCACAAUCACCUGAGGUCUCCCUGAUCAGCCCACAGUUUAGAGUCUUCCCAUCAGGCUCUCAUCUCCCUCGGCCCAGUUAAGGCUAGUGCUUGGCCCUCACUUGGUUGAAAGUAACAUCGAAAAUGGAAGGACCCCUCUGAACAAGUAAGUUAAGGAGCUGUUUCACUGAAAAGGCUAAUUGAAGAUGGAAGCUGAGCAGAAUCAAUGUCCACAGUGCAUCGUGUGUGUGACUAUGGUAGUGUGAGCUGAGGGCUGGAGCAAUUGGCCAGGCCCAUCAAAGCAUGGGGCUGGGGCUGUAUAUCAGAGCUUCAGAGCAGUGUUAUUUUAGACAGGGAGCCAGCCUCAACACAUUCUCAAUUGCCUGCUAAUGACCAAAAAAGGAAGUUCCUCCAUUUACCAAGAGGAAAAAAAAUAUCCUAACUUACCCUUGUAUUAGUCCUUGAGUGCGUAGCUUUUGCCCCCACAACUUAAACAGCUCUAUGUACUUAUCUAAGAUAAGCGAUGCUGCAGACUGACAUCGCUAAUGUCAGCUCUCCUAUCUCAGGAGCCAUGCCUAGGAUGACCUGCAUUGGCUGUAAUGCACCAGGCUCCUCCAGCCUGCUGAACCGGUUCCCCAGCCCCAGCCUUCAGCAGGCCUUGCUGGGCAGGGUUACUGACCCUGCAGAGGGAGAGGGCACAGAUGUUCAACCAGCACAGCCCUGUGUUGCUGCUUCCUGUGUUUCUGUCAACAGGAAAUCCCUUGCAGGACAACCUCUGGGACCCAGGAGAGGUGCUUCACAUUUAUAGAGCUGUGGCUCUUUCUGAGGCUUCGCCAGCAGAUAGUCAGCCAGGAAAUGGCUAAGGGAUAUUUGGUACAGAACUGGGGAUGUCCAGGUCACAAGGGAGCCAGCGGGUUGCUUCCCAUAAGCCAGGAGCUGUGCUUGCCUCUCCAUCCCAGCAUGGCCCACUUUCCUGAUGCUGGUAAUGCUGGUGGACAAAGACAAAGGCAACUGCAAGGGACAAGAGGAACUUCGAUCUGGAAGUGUUAGCUUCCAACUGAAAACACCUUUCCAAGACAAUAGAAACUCCACUCACAAACCUUAAUUAUGCCUCUAAACUUUAUUAUUACUCUUUUUUGUUGUUGUUGUUGUGCUAAGAGCCCACAGGGUCUGCCAGGCAGCACUCUACCACUGAGUUGCACUCACAACAAGUCAGGAAAUACGUUUUUAACUGUAAUACAGACCCAUUAGAAGGCAUUUCAAAAAUGUAA
This is a non-coding RNA of Cricetulus griseus (Chinese hamster), 2119 nucleotides long. The record is from RefSeq and is a predicted model, not a curated record. NCBI's taxonomy places the organism in Eukaryota, Metazoa, Chordata, Mammalia, Rodentia, Cricetidae.